GGCGGGACACGUGGUAUCCUGUCUGAAUAUGGGGGGACCAUCCUCCAAGGCUAAAUACUCCUGACUGACCGAUAGUGAACCAGUACCGUGAGGGAAAGGCGAAAAGAACCCCGGCGAGGGGAGUGAAAAAGAACCUGAAACCGUGUACGUACAAGCAGUGGGAGCCUCUUAAUGGGGUGACUGCGUACCUUUUGUAUAAUGGGUCAGCGACUUAUAUUCUGUAGCAAGGUUAACCGAAUAGGGGAGCCGAAGGGAAACCGAGUCUUAACUGGGCGUUAAGUUGCAGGGUAUAGACCCGAAACCCGGUGAUCUAGCCAUGGGCAGGUUGAAGGUUGGGUAACACUAACUGGAGGACCGAACCGACUAAUGUUGAAAAAUUAGCGGAUGACUUGUGGCUGGGGGUGAAAGGCCAAUCAAACCGGGAGAUAGCUGGUUCUCCCCGAAAGCUAUUUAGGUAGCGCCUCGUGAAUUCAUCUCCGGGGGUAGAGCACUGUUUCGGCAAGGGGGUCAUCCCGACUUACCAACCCGAUGCAAACUGCGAAUACCGGAGAAUGUUAUCACGGGAGACACACGGCGGGUGCUAACGUCCGUCGUGAAGAGGGAAACAACCCAGACCGCCAGCUAAGGUCCCAAAGUCAUGGUUAAGUGGGAAACGAUGUGGGAAGGCCCAGACAGCCAGGAUGUUGGCUUAGAAGCAGCCAUCAUUUAAAGAAAGCGUAAUAGCUCACUGGUCGAGUCGGCCUGCGCGGAAGAUGUAACGGGGCUAAACCAUG
This 773-nucleotide ribosomal RNA is filed under the name Escherichia coli. Its description in RNAcentral is "partial 23S ribosomal RNA". It matches the Rfam family "Bacterial large subunit ribosomal RNA", at positions 416 to 1191 of the family's 2925-position model. The record is from RNAcentral. Lineage: Bacteria; Pseudomonadati; Pseudomonadota; Gammaproteobacteria; Enterobacterales; Enterobacteriaceae.